Molecule: long non-coding RNA, 2281 nt
Organism: Petromyzon marinus (sea lamprey)
Lineage: Eukaryota; Metazoa; Chordata; Hyperoartia; Petromyzontiformes; Petromyzontidae
Source: RefSeq, a predicted model, not a curated record
CGUCGCGCCCUGCAUGCUAAUUCAGCGCGGCACCACCAAGUCGUCUCCCGGCUCCAGGGCGGGCGAGGCGGGCGAGGGAGCAGCUCCCGUGCCGCUGACAGCUCCUUCCCCGCACCUCCCGUUGGCACGUUUGUUUUGGUCAGCGGGAUACAUGGUGAGGUCUCAAGUUGUCACGUUGCUCCGGCUGAAUCAGGGGCUCUUCAUCCGUGGAGAAACCCUCUCGGCUGUCUUCUGGCGGUUGGCACAGCAUCCCCGGGUAUCUCUGGAUCAGCGCGGAGCUCAUCAAAAAAUGUGUCCACUCUUAUUUCGGGGAAGUGAAAGUCACCUCUACCCCUCCCUCUUGCCCUGCCGUUCAAAGAAAGGAUACAUGUAUUAGCCCUCGAUGAAGAAAUCAAAUUACACUUUCACCUGCCGCAGUGAGAAAGAAGUUCAAGAUACAUCGUCGUCACCACCACCACCAGCAGCAGCAGCAGCCACUGCUGAACGAAAGCUACCCCACAUCGUCACUGCGACCCACCGUGCUGCGAUGUCGCGAUCUCUCUGGGGGCCGCACGUGAACGAAGCUCUCUGCUCGCGACUGCUGUCCCCGCUCGUCUCGCCAACCCUCCCCGCCCAGGCGCACCGACUCUGUCGCUACAAAUCGUUUGGCGGUGCCGCUUUGACAGCGGUGCGAAGGCACAAACAGCAACAACAAAAAGUCCACACGUUCGUCACGAAGUGAAAGACAAAUAUUUAAGAUGCGUAAUAGGGAAUGAUUUGGGCAAUGGCCUUUUUUUAACGCCUGUGUUUAUGGUGGUUUUAUUGAUGGACGUGCCGAGCAAUUUAACCAUUUUUAACAGUUACUAUGAUGCCUAUGUGUUGUUAUUUAUGUUUGCAGCGUAGUUGACAGCGUGCAUCACUCUCCAUGCCGCUGGUGUGUAAAAGAACGUUGUUGGCCAGGCGGUGUUUGAAUGUCACGGUGGCAGGCGCAGGGCUUGGAGGAGGGAGCAUUGUCGAUUCGGGAUGAGACAAAUUCUAAAGAGCAGGAGCUCUUGCGGGCACAAGCAACGCCAUCGCCGCGCUUGCGACGUUAUUUAUUGCCCUUGUUUACUCUGCUGUCAGCAAUUGCGAUCGCCAGGCGUUGCAGCAGCCAGACCCAUUUAAUUCGUGAAUAGCUCGGUCAUUAUCGAAGCGGUCUUGCACGCCGUAAUGCAAUGAACAAGCGGGCAAUAUGGGCAAACUAUAAGCUAAUCGCGAGCGAAUCGCCCGACUGUAUUCUAAAGCCCAUGUGUGAUUAGAAUGAGCGAAAUUGAAGAAAGCACGGUGGUGUGGACCUCAAUAGCGCUACACACAUUUAAAUAAGCGAUGAUAGGUGUAAAAAUCUCCAGUUUAUUUUUUUUACUGAAACACGAUUCGCUGCACGGAAACAAAUGCGAGUCGAUCUCCGCGCGCUGCCAACGUCAUGCGCCGUGCAUUGACUUGAACGUCCGUGCCAGCAGGCGGGACACGCGGGGGACAUGGGGGCCGAGAGGCUCUCCCGCAGUGUGGCCGCGAGAGCCGGGGAGAAUCAACGCGUCCGUUCGUUCACGUUCGUGAGCAGAGUGAGCAGGCCGGGCUCUCCGCCCGCGGGGAGCGGCUGGGGUGGGUGGGAGAUCGGCUGGCCUGGCAACGCUACGAGUGAUACGUCGCAAAAGCACAGCUCCGCAUCAUCCGGCUCAACAGAUAUGUGGUUAUUUGUUUAUUUAUUUAGGCGACAAGUCUCGCCACCCCACGGAACCCUGCCUCCCGCGCUUAGUCCAGCUUUUAAAAAUGUGUACCUGCCGCUGGUGUUGUUAAGCAUGUCAGGACUUGUGAUGUGCUUGUAGCACGUUGCUAAAUUAGGGGGCUCAAAGGCAGAGCGAGCAGGCUCGCAAUCGGAAUGCCGUGAGGUCACAUCCUGGUGUGAGGCUGACUCAGCCUAUCAUCCCGACGGGGUCGAUAAAAUAGUUAUCGUACCACUUUGUGGGGAAGUCAACGCGGUUGUUCUAUGGAUGUCAACUCACCCUCACCAUCCGAUGCGGCAUGUCUACGAUUGGUUCAGAGAUGUAAACAGGAGAUGAGCAACGUUCCAAUGCUCAUUUACGCAGGAAAUCAGUUUGACUACGUACAAAAUAUAUAUAUAAACAUAGGUGAGCGAUAAGAUCAAGUUUAAAGGUGUGUGCUUUAGCAAUGUCGAAUACAAUUAACAAGGCUCUGGCAAAGCAAUUCAUGUAAAUUAUAAUAUAAUGAUGAUGAAUGAAUAAAGAUGAACUUGGAAAGAAAA